This 253-nucleotide ribosomal RNA is filed under the name uncultured bacterium. RNAcentral's name for it is "partial 16S ribosomal RNA". It matches the Rfam family "Bacterial small subunit ribosomal RNA", at positions 524 to 776 of the family's 1533-position model. The record is from RNAcentral.
UACGGAGGGUGCAAGCGUUAUCCGGAUUUACUGGGUUUAAAGGGUGCGUAGGCGGCGCGGUAAGUCGGGUGUGAAAUCUUGGAGCUUAACUCCGAAACUGCAUUCGAUACUGCCGUGCUUGAGGACUGGAGAGGAGACUGGAAUUUACGGUGUAGCGGUGAAAUGCGUAGAUAUCGUAAGGAAGACCAGUGGCGAAGGCGGGUCUCUGGACAGUUCCUGACGCUGAGGCACGAAGGUCAGGGGAGCAAACGGG